UCCCAAUUCCCGGACCAGGCCUAGCCCUGGCUCCUAUUGUCUGGUUCUGAGUCCUGCUCCACAAAUGGGCAGCUUCUGCCUUGGGCUUUGGGGGUUGGGCCGGAAGCUGAGGACGUCUGGGAAGGGGCCGCUACUGUUCUGGAGCCGCCUCUGCGGGGACUCUUUGCAGGCCAGCCCCGCCAAGAAGGCCCGGGCCAAGCAGGAUGAACCCGGGACGCCACCCUCCUCGCCGCUGAGCACGGAGCAGUUGGACCGGAUCCAGAGGAACAAGACCGUGGCCCUCCUCAGACUCGCCGCCCGCAACGUACCCGUGGGCUUUGGGGAGAGCUGGAAGAAGCACCUCAGCGGGGAGUUCCGGGAAACCGUAUUUUAUCAAGCUAAUGGGAUUUGUUGCAGAAGAAAGAAAGCAUUACACCGUUUAUCCACCCCAACACCAAGUAUUCACCUGGACCCAGAUGUGUGACAUAAAAGAUGUUAAGGUUGUCAUCCUGGGACAGGAUCCAUAUCAUGGACCUAAUCAAGCUCACAGACUCUGCUUUAGUGUUCAAAGGCCUGUUCUGCCUUGGCCCAGUUUGGAGAACAUUUAUAAAGAGCUGUCUACAGACAUAGAGGGUUUUGUCCAUCCUGGCCAUGGAGAUUUAUCUGGGUGGGCCAAGCAAGGUGUUCUGCUAUUCAACGCUGUUCUCACGGUUCGGGCACAUCAAGCCAACUCUCAUAAGGAGAGAGGUUGGGAGCAAUUCACCGAUGCAGUUGUGUCCUGGCUAAAUAAGAACACGAAUGGCCUUGUUUUCUUGCUCUGGGGCUCUUAUGCUCAGAAGAAGGGCAGUGCCAUUGAUAGGAAGCGUCACCAUGUCCUGCAGACGGCUCAUCCCUCCCCGUUGUCAGUGUAUAGAGGGUUCUUUGGAUGUAGACACUUUUCUGAGACUGGCAAGAAGCCCAUCGACUGGAAGGAGCUGUGGUCAGUAGCUGAGAGGCGGCCUGUCUCCAAUGGUUUCUUUUGAGAAGCUGCUGUUAACGUUUUUGUCAGUUACGAAGUUCCAUUGAAAAUUUUCCUAUUAAUUCUUAAGUACUCUGCAUAAGGAGGAAAAGCUUCCAAAAAGCAGCCACAAACAGCAAAGGCUACCCUUUGACCAAAUGUCUUUCUCUGCAACAUGGCUUCGGCCUAAAAUAUGCCAACUUGUCACAAGACAGAUGAGGUCAAAUACUCAGUUGGCUGUCUUUGUCUCCCUUGCCUUUUAUGGUGAACGCGAGGAGAUGUGCACCUUUUAGUCACAGCCCUAGUUUGGUGCCUGCUGUUCGUAGUUUUGCCUGUUUCAGUGACAAGUGUUGGGGUGUUACUGCUUAGAAACGUCCCUUGUCUCAGCCCUGCAGGGCAGGCAUGCCAGUCUGCCUGUUCCACUGCCCCCUUGAUCUUUGAAGGAGUCCUCAGGCCCCUCAAAGCAUAGGGAUGUUUUGCAAGUUUCCAGAAUCUGGCCCAGAAAUUAGGGCUCAAUUUCCUGAUUGUAGUAGAGGUGAAGAUGCUAAGAUUGUUGUGAGCCCUCUCAGAUGGGCUGAGGGGAGUAAGCUGGGUCUUGUUAUCCCUUGAGUGUUGGUGGAAUAAGCAGUGGAAUUUGAACAAGGAAGAGAAGAGGGAAUUUUGUCUUUAUGGGGUCGGGAUGAUUUUCUCCGUGGGUUAUCUCCAGUUGGGGUUUUUAGGGCACCAAGGACUGUCAAGUGCUGUUUUUUUUACCAACUGAAAUCACUUUGGGAUAUUUUUUUCUGCAACACUGGAAUGUUUUAGAUUUUUAAGAAGUACUCAUGCAGAUAUAUAUUUUUUCCCCAAUCCUUUUUUUAAGAGAUAAUCUUUAUUGGGUCUACACCUCCAUCCUUGAUCUUGUUAGUGAUGCUGUUUUGCUGUUAGUCGGGUUAGAGUUGGCCCUAUGCGGGGUUUGGUAAUAAAAGAUUGUUUAAAAAAAAAAAAAGCGAGAAAUUGGUCAAAUGAGACCAAUUUCCUGCUAAGAACAUAUUUCAAUGUUAUUACAAUGAUUUAUAUAAUUUUUUGAAAAUCUGACUGCAACCUGUCUUUCAUUCUCAACUAAAAUAUUUGCCACCUUUGCUAUCUAGGCACACUAUUCUCUUUUCAUUUUCUUCGACAUAAAAAUUAUUUUCCAGCUCAGGACCAUUGCAAACGCUAUUUCUGCAUCCAGGAUUAUUAACAUCCAAAAUCUUCAUUUAGGUGGGUUAUUAUCUUUUCUUUUUUAUCUUAAAUAUUAUCUCUUCAAUGAAGCUUUUGCAGAUCAUUCUAUAAAAAGAUAGUUUUUAUUUGUGUCCAAAGCAUUCAAGUAUGCAUUGUUUAUGUCUACUUACCUCAAUUUACAAUUUAUGGUGUUGUUUUUGUUGUUUUGUUUUUGUUUUACAUUAGAUGCUAAAGCAGAGUCCACAUUUUCUUUCUUCACCACUAAUAGCCAGCAUUUGACAUAGUAGCUGAAAUACACUAGGUAUA
Non-coding RNA from Callithrix jacchus (white-tufted-ear marmoset), 2482 nucleotides. Lineage: Eukaryota; Metazoa; Chordata; Mammalia; Primates; Cebidae. The record is from RefSeq and is a predicted model, not a curated record.